Molecule: ribosomal RNA, 376 nt
Filed under: uncultured organism
Description: partial 16S ribosomal RNA
Rfam family: Bacterial small subunit ribosomal RNA
Source: RNAcentral
GUAGGUGGCAAGCGUUGUCCGGAAUUAUUGGGCGUAAAGCGCGCGCAGGCGGUCCUUUAAGUCUGAUGUGAAAGCCCACGGCUCAACCGUGGAGGGUCAUUGGAAACUGGGGGACUUGAGUACAGAAGAGGAAAGCGGAAUUCCAAGUGUAGCGGUGAAAUGCGUAGAGAUUUGGAGGAACACCAGUGGCGAAGGCGGCUUUCUGGUCUGUAACUGACGCUGAGGCGCGAAAGCGUGGGGAGCAAACAGGAUUAGAUACCCUGGUAGUCCACGCCGUAAACGAUGAGUGCUAAGUGUUAGGGGGGUUUUCCCGCCCCCCUUAGUGCUGCAGCUAACGCAUUAAGCACUCCGCCUGGGGAGUACGGCCGCAAGGCUG